GGCCUGGAAGUGGCUUACAUCACUUCUUCUGUCUGCUUUCCAAUUGGCUGGAACUCAGUCACAUGACACUCCUAACUGCAAGGGAAGCUGGGAAAAUGUAGUUUUCUACAUUUAUAUACAGGAGGAAAACAAGGACUUGGGGACUACAGAGCCAGCACUGUCUUUGCCUCAUAUUUUACCAAGUUCCAACCAGCAAAGUUUUUCCAGUUUAUAUUUCUAUAAGAAAGAUGAUCUCUCUGGAAGCUAGGACUGCAGCCCUGAUUACUUUUAGGACAGCUGCCCCAUCACUGUCUCCCAGG
Heterocephalus glaber (naked mole-rat) is the source of this 299-nucleotide long non-coding RNA. Lineage: Eukaryota; Metazoa; Chordata; Mammalia; Rodentia; Bathyergidae. The record is from Ensembl.